GACGAACGCUGGCGGCGUGCUUAACACAUGCAAGUCGAACGGAAAGGCCUGCUUUCCCUUGUGGAUUGCGGGUACUCGAGUGGCGAACGGGUGAGUAACACGUGAGUGAUCUGCCCCCAACUUGGGUAUAAGCCUGGGAAACUGGGUCUAAUUCCCGAUAGGACUGCAGGGUGGUGCCUGUGGUGGAAAACGAUUUUCUAGUGGUUGGGGAUGAGCUCGCGGCCUAUCAGCUUGUUGGUGGGGUAAUGGCCUACCAAGGCGGCGACGGGUAGCCGGCCUGAGAGGGUGGACGGCCACAUUGGGACUGAGAUCCGGCCCAGACUCCUACGGGAGGCAGCAGUGGGGAAUAUUGCACAAUGGGCGGAAGCCUGAUGCAGCGACGCCGCGUGGGGGAUGACGGCCUUCGGGUUGUAAACUCCUUUCGACCGCGAGGAAGCCACCUGGUUGGAAGGGUGGUGACGGUAGUGGUAGAAGAAGCACCGGCUAACUACGUG
Molecule: ribosomal RNA, 494 nt
Filed under: uncultured bacterium
Lineage: Bacteria
Description: partial 16S ribosomal RNA
Rfam family: Bacterial small subunit ribosomal RNA
Source: RNAcentral